AACACCAAUAAACAGACCCAAAAAAAAAAGGGAAAGUAUAUGUAGGUAUGCCUCUCACUCUCUCUUAUUGAAUUGAAAUAGAGAUGGAGAACAAUUGCAGCUUCAUGUCUUGCGAGAAGUUGGAUAGGGUUGCGAGCUGGGUGGGCACGAACGUCGCCUCCGCUUUCUUCGCAUCCCUCGAGCGUUGCUAUUGCAUCAACCUCUCCACUACCGACCCUGACGAAGACGAUGACGACACCAAGGAUCUCCGUCCCCUCAUGCUUUCCAGGCCCGCUGCUGUCCGAGAUUCAGAUUUCCAACCCGCUCCAGCCGGAAUCGCCACCGCCAAUAACAACAACAACAACUCCGAUAUGAAGAGAAUCAAGAAUGAUCUCUGUUUGGAAAACAUCAAUCUUCAUUGCUGCUCCUUCAAAAAUCCUGAACCAGAACUUUGGCUUCUCUCCUCAGCACAAAAGUCACACAUUCGCUGGCCAUGGUGAAAUGUAUUCUGGAAAAAUCUCUCUGUAUUUAUCUAAUCAAACUAAUCUACUGACGUAGUAGUUCGCUGGGCUAUUGAGGUCUACAGCAUUUGCCAUGAAAGUGGGAUUUUACGCCGAGACAUGGAAGGUUCUAACUUGUUGAUAGACAAACAUGGAAUGCCAAAUAAACAAAACAUGGGUCCCAAACCUGUCGCUACUUCGCCCCGACACCGGAGGAGAGAGAAAAGAAGGAAGAGGGGGUGAUUCUGAAAUUCUGGAGCGAGCAUAUGAAGAGGAGAGAGAAUGAGGAGAGGAAGAAAAUAAUGGGAGAGGAAGAGAAGAAUGACCGAUUUCACUAAAUUAUGAGCAGGCUGUGCGAAAAAUUAGUUGUUUUUUAAGUUUUGAUUCUUGAAAAGUGACGGAGGGUUUGCUCCGUUAUACAAGGGUAUUUAUAUAAGCUUAACAAAACAUAAUUCUAUGGGCCCUAACCCCUAAGCCCCAAGUCACUAACAAUAUUCAAACACAAGUAACUGUGUUCAAACGUCAGUAUAAACUUAUUUCAUUAUAUAUAGCAUAUGGUUCUGCCAACUCUGAUCCGCAAACAGUACAGCUUACUUUAAUUGAUCCUCCCUAUAUUCACACAAUCGGAGUUCCUGUGGGUGGACGGGCUGUGAUUCAAUUUCGUGGAGAUAAUCCAAAUAAUUGAGGUUCAAUUUACACAUGUAUAUUGACACAAUUGAUCCUCUCAUAUGUAUGUCUAACUCGUACUAAUUGUUGUAUACCAUUAUAGGCGUAUCAUAUUGAGAUACACC
RNA transcript from Tripterygium wilfordii, 1270 nucleotides. RefSeq lists it as uncharacterized. The transcript is spliced from 5 exons. The record is from RefSeq and is a predicted model, not a curated record. NCBI's taxonomy places the organism in Eukaryota, Viridiplantae, Streptophyta, Magnoliopsida, Celastrales, Celastraceae.